CAGUCGCCGCGGUAAUACGGAGGGUGCAAGCGUUAAUCGGAAUUACUGGGCGUAAAGCGCACGCAGGCGGUCUGUCAAGUCAGAUGUGAAAUCCCCGGGCUUAACCUGGGAACUGCAUUUGAAACUGGCAGACUGGAGUCUUGUAGAGGGGGGUAGAAUUCCAGGUGUAGCGGUGAAAUGCGUAGAGAUCUGGAGGAAUACCGGUGGCGAAGGCGGCCCCCUGGACAAAGACUGACGCUCAGGUGCGAAAGCGUGGGGAGCAAACAGGAUUAGAUACCCCUGUAGUCCCUGUCUCUUAUAC
This 301-nucleotide ribosomal RNA is filed under the name uncultured bacterium. RNAcentral's name for it is "partial 16S ribosomal RNA". It matches the Rfam family "Bacterial small subunit ribosomal RNA", at positions 509 to 807 of the family's 1533-position model. The record is from RNAcentral.